This 489-nucleotide ribosomal RNA is filed under the name uncultured bacterium. RNAcentral describes it as "partial 16S ribosomal RNA". It matches the Rfam family "Bacterial small subunit ribosomal RNA", at positions 30 to 506 of the family's 1533-position model. The record is from RNAcentral.
AUUGAACGCUGGCGGCAGGCCUAACACAUGCAAGUCGAACGGUAACAGGAAGCAGCUUGCUGCUUUGCUGACGAGUGGCGGACGGGUGAGUAAUGUCUGGGAAACUGCCCGAUGGAGGGGGAUAACUACUGGAAACGGUAGCUAAUACCGCAUAACGUCGCAAGACCAAAGAGGGGGACCUUAGGGCCUCUUGCCAUCGGAUGUGCCCAGAUGGGAUUAGCUAGUAGGUGGGGUAACGGCUCACCUAGGCGACGAUCCCUAGCUGGUCUGAGAGGAUGACCAGCCACACUGGAACUGAGACACGGUCCAGACUCCUACGGGAGGCAGCAGUGGGGAAUAUUGCACAAUGGGCGCAAGCCUGAUGCAGCCAUGCCGCGUGUAUGAAGAAGGCCUUCGGGUUGUAAAGUACUUUCAGCGGGGAGGAAGGGAGUAAAGUUAAUACCUUUGCUCAUUGACGUUACCCGCAGAAGAAACACCGGCUAACUCCGU